RNAcentral lists this ribosomal RNA (503 nucleotides) under Costora sp. KAJ-2009. Its description in RNAcentral is "partial 16S ribosomal RNA". Lineage: Eukaryota; Metazoa; Arthropoda; Insecta; Trichoptera; Conoesucidae. The record is from RNAcentral.
GUCUUAAAGAAUUUAAUUUUAAGUCUAAUCUGCCCACUGAAUUAUUUAAAGGGCCGCAGUAUAAAUGUGCAAAGGUAGCAUAAUAAUUAGUUUUUUUAUUGGAAACUAGAAUGAAUGAUUGGACGAAAUAUUAACUGUUUGAAUUUUAAAAAUAAAAUUUAUUUUUUUAGUGAAAAAACUAAAAUUAUUUAAAAAGACAAGAAGACCCUAUAGAUCUUAAUAUAUUAAAUUUAUAUUAUUAUAUAAAUUUAAUUAUUUAAUUGGGGUGAUUAAAAAAUUUAAUUAACUUUUUGAAUUUAAAACUAUAAUAAUAGAUAAAUUUUAAUCAAUUAAAAUUAAUAAUUUAUUAUUUUAUUAAUAAAGAAAAAGAUACCUUAGGGAUAACAGCGUAAUUUUAAUUUUAAGUUCUUAUUAAAAUUAGAGAUUGCGACCUCGAUGUUGGAUUAAAAUUAAUAUUAAAUGUAGGUGUUUAAUAAUUAAGUCUGUUCGACUUUUAAAAUUUU